UACGGAGGAUCCGAGCGUUAUCCGGAUUUAUUGGGUUUAAAGGGUGCGUAGGUGGUUUGAUAAGUCAGCGGUGAAAGUUUGCAGCUUAACUGUAAAAAUGCCGUUGAAACUGUCGGACUUGAGUGUAAAUGAGGUAGGCGGAAUGCGUGGUGUAGCGGUGAAAUGCAUAGAUAUCACGCAGAACUCCGAUUGCGAAGGCAGCUUACUAAGCUACAACUGACACUGAAGCACGAAAGCGUGAGGAUCAAACAGG
RNAcentral lists this ribosomal RNA (253 nucleotides) under uncultured bacterium. RNAcentral's name for it is "partial 16S ribosomal RNA". It matches the Rfam family "Bacterial small subunit ribosomal RNA", at positions 524 to 776 of the family's 1533-position model. The record is from RNAcentral.